AGAGCCUUCAGACUUCGUGUCAAGACCUAAAGAGAGAAUUUUUAGUUUACAGAGCACUCUCUGGCUUCCAGGCAGGAUGACUCACAGAUGUGCCUGCAUCAUCUCUGACUAAAUAAUCUGCGACUGUCUCCCGACCUGCCCCAGCAUCCCCCUCAGAGAGGCUGGCACAG
Molecule: long non-coding RNA, 170 nt
Organism: Mauremys mutica (yellowpond turtle)
Lineage: Eukaryota; Metazoa; Chordata; Testudines; Geoemydidae
Exons: 3
Source: RefSeq, a predicted model, not a curated record